UGCAAGUCGAACGAUGAUGCCCAGCUUGCUGGGUGGAUUAGUGGCGAACGGGUGAGUAACACGUGAGUAACCUGCCCCUGACUCUGGGAUAAGCGUUGGAAACGACGUCUAAUACUGGAUAUGAUCACUGGCCGCAUGGUCUGGUGGUGGAAAGAUUUUUUGGUUGGGGAUGGACUCGCGGCCUAUCAGCUUGUUGGUGAGGUAAUGGCUCACCAAGGCGACGACGGGUAGCCGGCCUGAGAGGGUGACCGGCCACACUGGGACUGAGACACGGCCCAGACUCCUACGGGAGGCAGCAGUGGGGAAUAUUGCACAAUGGGCGAAAGCCUGAUGCAGCAACGCCGCGUGAGGGAUGACGGCCUUCGGGUUGUAAACCUCUUUUAGUAGGGAAGAAGCGAAAGUGACGGUACCUGCAGAAAAAGCACCGGCUAACUACGUGCCAGCAGCCGCGGUAAUACGUAGGGUGCAAGCGUUGUCCGGAAUUAUUGGGCGUAAAGAGCUCGUAGGCGGUUUGUCGCGUCUGCUGUGAAAUCCCGAGGCUCAACCUCGGGCUUGCAGUGGGUACGGGCAGACUAGAGUGCGGUAGGGGAGAUUGGAAUUCCUGGUGUAGCGGUGGAAUGCGCAGAUAUCAGGAGGAACACCGAUGGCGAAGGCAGAUCUCUGGGCCGUAACUGACGCUGAGGAGCGAAAGCAUGGGGAGCGAACAGGAUUAGAUACCCUGGUAGUCCAUGCCGUAAACGUUGGGCGCUAGAUGUAGGGACCUUUCCACGGUUUCUGUGUCGUAGCUAACGCAUUAAGCGCCCCGCCUGGGGAGUACGGCCGCAAGGCUAAAACUCAAAGGAAUUGACGGGGGCCCGCACAAGCGGCGGAGCAUGCGGAUUAAUUCGAUGCAACGCGAAGAACCUUACCAAGGCUUGACAUACACCGGAAACGGCCAGAGAUGGUCGCCCCCUUGUGGUCGGUGUACAGGUGGUGCAUGGUUGUCGUCAGCUCGUGUCGUGAGAUGUUGGGUUAAGUCCCGCAACGAGCGCAACCCUCGUUCUAUGUUGCCAGCGGGUUAUGCCGGGGACUCAUAGGAGACUGCCGGGGUCAACUCGGAGGAAGGUGGGGAUGACGUCAAAUCAUCAUGCCCCUUAUGUCUUGGGCUUCACGCAUGCUACAAUGGCCGGUACAAAGGGCUGCGAUACCGUAAGGUGGAGCGAAUCCCAAAAAGCCGGUCUCAGUUCGGAUUGAGGUCUGCAACUCGACCUCAUGAAGUCGGAGUCGCUAGUAAUCGCAGAUCAGCAACGCUGCGGUGAAUACGUUCCCGGGCCUUGUACACACCGCCCGUCAAGUCAUGAAAGUCGGUAACACCCGAAGCCGGUGGCCUAACCCUUGUGGAAGGAGCCGUCGA
This 1393-nucleotide ribosomal RNA is filed under the name Curtobacterium flaccumfaciens. RNAcentral's name for it is "bacterial SSU rRNA". It matches the Rfam family "Bacterial small subunit ribosomal RNA". The record is from RNAcentral. Lineage: Bacteria; Bacillati; Actinomycetota; Actinomycetes; Micrococcales; Microbacteriaceae.